CCUACGGGUGGCAGCAGUGGGGAAUAUUGCACAAUGGGGGAAACCCUGAUGCAGCGACGCCGCGUGAGUGAAGAAGUAAUUCGUUAUGUAAAGCUCUAUCAGCAGGGAAGAAAAUGACGGUACCUGAGUAAGAAGCCCCGGCUAACUACGUGCCAGCAGCCGCGGUAAUACGUAGGGGGCAAGCGUUAUCCGGAUUUACUGGGUGGAAAGGGAGCGUAGACGGCAGUGCAAGUCUGGAGUGAAAGGCGGGGGCUCAACCCCCGGACUGCUCUGGAAACUGUACGGCUGGAGUGCAGGAGAGGUAAGUGGAAUUCCUGGUGUAGCGGUGAAAUGCGUAGAUAUUAGGAGGAACACCAGAGGCGAAGGCGGCUUACUGGACUGUAACUGACGUUGAGGCUCGAAAGCGUGGGGAGCAAACAGGAUUAGAUACCCUAGUAGUC
Molecule: ribosomal RNA, 440 nt
Filed under: uncultured bacterium
Lineage: Bacteria
Description: partial 16S ribosomal RNA
Rfam family: Bacterial small subunit ribosomal RNA
Source: RNAcentral